Molecule: ribosomal RNA, 401 nt
Filed under: uncultured bacterium
Lineage: Bacteria
Description: bacterial SSU rRNA
Rfam family: Bacterial small subunit ribosomal RNA
Source: RNAcentral
GAUGAACGCUGGCGGCGUGGUUAAGGCAUGCAAGUCAAGGGGUCCGCAAGGACACCGGCAGACGAGGUAGGAAUACAGAGGUACGAACCGAGAAGUCAGGAAUAGCUAGUCGAAAGAUUAGGUAAUACUUGAUGGUCCCGAAAGGGUAAAGAUUUAUCGCUUCUUGAUCGGCCUCUGCGCUAUCAGCUAGUUGGUAAGGUGAUGGCUUACCAAGGCUAAGACGGCUAGGGGAGGUGAGAGCCUGACCCCCACCGAUGGGACUGAGACACGGCCCAUACACCUACGGGUGGCUGCAGUCGAGAAUCUUCCSCAAUGGACGCAAGUYUGACGGAGCGACGCCGCGUGAUUGAUGAAAUCCUUCGGGAUGUAAAAAUCUUUUAUGAGCGAGAAAGUUUUACGUG